Molecule: ribosomal RNA, 364 nt
Filed under: Thalassiosira minuscula
Lineage: Eukaryota; Bacillariophyta; Thalassiosirophyceae; Thalassiosirales; Thalassiosiraceae
Description: partial Eukaryotic large subunit ribosomal RNA
Rfam family: Eukaryotic large subunit ribosomal RNA
Source: RNAcentral
AUAGUAAUUCAACUUAGUACGAGAGGAACCGUUGAUUCGCGUAAUUGGUAUUUGCGGCUGUCCGAUCGGGCAAUGCCGCGAAGCUACCACGCGUUGGAUUAUGGCUGAACGCCUCUAAGUCAGAAUCCAUGCUGGCAAUCGUGCUACUCUCCUCAACCGAUGUUCGUGUAUAGCGAUAGCCUUCGGGUCAACAUCAUACAGUGCUGGCACUGCCUCUUAAAAGGGCACGUACAGCGAAACAUAAUUUCCAAUGUUGGUUGAGUUAAAUCCUUUGUAGACGACUUAAAUAUGGAACGAGGUACUGUAAGCAUGAGAGAGGCCUUUGUGCCUCGAUCUGCUGAGGUUCAGCCUUUGUUUCGGCGAU